GCACCACCGCCCCACCGAGAAAGUUCACCUACAUCGUUCAACCAGGGUGCCGCCUCUGUUCGUGGGCGUGCAGGCUCGUUCGGCGAGAAGCCCGAAGCGACUACCGCAGCACCCACCUACUGGCUGUAGGGGUUGGACUUCACCGGUCGGGGCGGUGGAGUC
This 162-nucleotide non-coding RNA is filed under the name Myxococcales bacterium. Lineage: Bacteria; Pseudomonadati; Myxococcota; Myxococcia; Myxococcales. The record is from RNAcentral.